AUUUAGAAAGUAAUACUAGGGCUUGUCUACACUUACCGGGGGUUUGGUGCACUGCAAUCGAUGCAUCGGUGGUUGAUUUAGCAGAUCUAGUGAAGACCCACUAAAUCGACCACCAAUCACUCUCCCAUUGACUCCUGUACUCCACCUGAAUGAG
Dermochelys coriacea (leatherback sea turtle) is the source of this 154-nucleotide long non-coding RNA. RefSeq lists it as uncharacterized. The transcript has 3 exons. The record is from RefSeq and is a predicted model, not a curated record. NCBI's taxonomy places the organism in Eukaryota, Metazoa, Chordata, Testudines, Dermochelyidae.